Molecule: ribosomal RNA, 1133 nt
Filed under: uncultured bacterium
Lineage: Bacteria
Description: bacterial SSU rRNA
Rfam family: Bacterial small subunit ribosomal RNA
Source: RNAcentral
GGAAUUUUGGACAAUGGGCGCAAGCCUGAUCCAGCCAUGCCGCGUGAGUGAAGAAGGCCUUCGGGUUGUAAAGCUCUUUCGGCCGGGAAGAAAUCGUAUGGGUUAAUACCCUGUGCGGAUGACGGUACCGGCAUAAGAAGCACCGGCUAACUACGUGCCAGCAGCCGCGGUAAUACGUAGGGUGCGAGCGUUAAUCGGAAUUACUGGGCGUAAAGCGUGCGCAGGCGGUUUUGUAAGACAGGCGUGAAAUCCCCGGGCUCAACCUGGGAACUGCGUUUGUGACUGCAAGGCUAGAGUACGGCAGAGGGGGGUGGAAUUCCACGUGUAGCAGUGAAAUGCGUAGAGAUGUGGAGGAACACCAAUGGCGAAGGCAGCCCCCUGGGUCGAUACUGACGCUCAUGCACGAAAGCGUGGGUAGCAAACAGGAUUAGAUACCCUGGUAGUCCACGCCCUAAACGAUGUCAACUAGGUGUUGGGUGGGUAAAACCAUUUAGUACCGGAGCUAACGCGUGAAGUUGACCGCCUGGGGAGUACGGCCGCAAGGUUAAAACUCAAAGGAAUUGACGGGGACCCGCACAAGCGGUGGAUGAUGUGGAUUAAUUCGAUGCAACGCGAAAAACCUUACCUACCCUUGACAUGUUCAGAAGCCUGAAGAGAUUUGGGUGUGCCCGAAAGGGAACUGGAACACAGGUGCUGCAUGGCUGUCGUCAGCUCGUGUCGUGAGAUGUUGGGUUAAGUCCCGCAACGAGCGCAACCCUUGUCGUUAAUUGCCAUCAUUUAGUUGGGCACUUUAACGAGACUGCCGGUGACAAACCGGAGGAAGGUGGGGAUGACGUCAAGUCCUCAUGGCCCUUAUGGGUAGGGCUUCACACGUCAUACAAUGGUCGGUACAGAGGGUUGCCAAGCCGCGAGGUGGAGCCAAUCCCAGAAAGCCGAUCGUAGUCCGGAUUGCAGGCUGCAACUCGCCUGCAUGAAGUCGGAAUCGCUAGUAAUCGCGGAUCAGCAUGUCGCGGUGAAUACGUUCCCGGGUCUUGUACACACCGCCCGUCACACCAUGGGAGCGGGUUCCGCCAGAAGUAGGUAGCCUAACCGCAAGGGGGGCGCUUACCACGGCGGGGUUCGUGACUGGGGUG